Bos taurus (domestic cattle) is the source of this 300-nucleotide unclassified non-coding RNA. It matches the Rfam family "Metazoan signal recognition particle RNA". From Rfam's summary of the family: The signal recognition particle (SRP) is a universally conserved ribonucleoprotein. It is involved in the co-translational targeting of proteins to membranes. The record is from Ensembl. Lineage: Eukaryota; Metazoa; Chordata; Mammalia; Artiodactyla; Bovidae.
GCUGGGCACGGUAGCACGCACCUGUAGUCCCAGCUACUCGGGAGGCUGAGGCUGGAGGAUCGCUUGAGCUCAGGAGUUCUGGGCUGCAGUGCGCUAUGCCGAUCGGGUGUCUGCACUAAGUUCGGCAUCAAUAUGGUGACCUCCCGGGAGCGGGGGACCACCACGUUGCCUAAGGAGGGGUGAACCGGCCCAGGUUGGAAACGGAGCAGGUCAAAACUCCCGUGCUGAUUAGUAGUGGGAUCGCACCUGUGAAUAGCCACUGUACUCCAGCCUGGGCAACAUAGCGAGACCCCGUCUCUU